This is a non-coding RNA of Pelobates cultripes (western spadefoot toad), 102 nucleotides long. The record is from the annotation of a GenBank genome assembly. Lineage: Eukaryota; Metazoa; Chordata; Amphibia; Anura; Pelobatidae.
CUACCACCUUGUUCGCCACAAACUUUGCAUCUCACUUCACUGAGAUCUCUUCUCUGAUUGUAGAGGUCUCAGUGAAGUGAGAUGCAAAGUUUGUGGCGGACA